This 2400-nucleotide small RNA is filed under the name Arabidopsis thaliana (thale cress). Its description in RNAcentral is "ATSL133760". The record is from RNAcentral. Lineage: Eukaryota; Viridiplantae; Streptophyta; Magnoliopsida; Brassicales; Brassicaceae.
UUAAAAAUACAAACAGAUAUGUAUAGGAAUUUGAAUUCUUUCAUAUCCAGUUAAAUUCUUUUGACUGAAUAGGAAGAGUCAAAAAGAUGAUUUUAAUGAGAGAAUAUUACACUUUUAGACAUUUUUUAAAAACUAUUUCCAUGUUUAGGCACUUUCAAAAGACUAGACACUUUCUUUAUGUUUUUUUACUAAAAUAACUUCUAACUAAAAUAUUCUCUUAAUCCACGUUUUUUUUCUUUCUCUCUCCUCUCUCUCUCUCUCUCUCCCUCUCUCUCUCUCCCUCUCUCUCCCUCUCUCUCUCUCUUCAUCUUUGUAAAAAAUGAAAAGAAACUUCUUCUUCUUCAACAACAGCGGCUUGAUUUGAUUUUUGCUUUCUCUCAUGUGUCAAACUCGUUUCAUCUACGUAGCAUCGAGAUUUCAGUUAAUCGAAUCUCCUGUUAUCAUGGACAUGCUAUAUAGAAUAGAUAUAGAUCAGUAAAAAGGUUUCUGAAUGGAUAUAUUUAAAUGGAUUCGUUAUUAUGGAUACCAAAAAAUUGUUUGUUGAUUUUUCUUUCAGUUUGCAGAGACCUCCACCUUCAAGACCUUAUGGACAUGGAACUUUGGUUUCUUUACAAAACACGAUUAAUCGAAUCUUCUGUUAUUAUUGACAUGAUAUAUAGAAUAGAUACGGAUCAGUAGAAAGGUUUCUGAAUGGAUAUAUUUAAAUGGACUCGUUAUUAUGGAUACCAAAAAAUUAUUUGUUGAUUUUUCUUUCAGUUUGCAGAGACCUCCACAUUCAAGACCUUAUGGACAUGGAACUUUGGUUUCUAUACGAACCACGGUUAAUUGAAUCUCCUGUUAUUAUGGACAUGGUAUAUAGAUUAGAUAUGGAUCAGUAAAAAGGUUUCCGAGUGGAUAUAUUUAAAUGGACUCGUUUAGGCACUUUUAGAGAAUUUUAUUCCUUUUGAGGCACUUGUCAGGGAUGAGGCACUUUUCCAACUUUUUCAUUAAACUUUUGACAAAUUUGCCCCUGAAAAUUAAAAAAUUAUAAUUAAAAAAAAAGUUUCAUCUCUCCACGUUCCUUUUUUUUCCUUCUUCUUCCUCUCUCUCUCUCUCUCUCUCUCUCUCUCUCUCUCUCUCUCUUCUCUCUCUCUUCUCUCUCUCUCUUCUCAUUAUUACUUUUUUUUCUUUCCUUGCAAAAUCAAACAUUUAAGAGUUUAUCAAAAUCAAACAUUUGAGAGUUUAUGGAAAACCCAAGUUGGCAAAUUCCAGUAUUAAAUUUCAUAUCCAUUUGAUCGCCUUGUUUGGUACAAUUUAAUUCUUUCUUGAUAAAUUGAUGUUUCAUUGAACGUCUAACCUUAAAAGCAUAUUCUUUUGCUUAUGAGAAUCACUUAUUUCCACAUGGUUACGUUUACGUGGACAAGUUAUCAUGGAGACAAACUAGCAUCAUUUUUUAUCUUCUCUGUCUUCCAUGUUUUUUUUUUCAUCAUUUUUAUUUUCUUUUUCAAAAUCAUCAAUCAUGGUGGUUCUCUAUAAUUCUUACAAAUCAUAGAAAUUCUGAGAUUAUCUCAAAAUUCUCUAUCAUAACUUAAAAACGAAGAAUAUAUUAAGAAUCAACAACAGAACAUUGCUGCUACAAUUGAUCUUCUUACACGCUUUAUAUACUUAAACUUGAGUACUUGGACACUCAUCAAUGGACAACUAUGCUUCAGAUGUGAGUUACUAGAUGACCACUUGGACUAGAGUGCUUGGACACUUAUCAAUGGACAACUAUGCUUCAAAUGUGAGUUAUUAGAUGACCAUUUGGACUUGAAUGCUUGGACACUCAUCAAUGGACAACUAUGCCUCAGAUGAAGUUACAUCGACAAUGGCCUUUUUGCUGCUACUCGCGUUCUCAACAUCACGAACCGUUUCAAGCCCAGAUUGCUUAGAAGGUAACUGAUCAUGGUUAACAUCCUCACUUUUCAUUGUAAUCGAUGACAGAGAUUCCUUAAUCAAGGAGAGAAAUAAAUGGAACCAAAUCAAAUAAUUGUUGAGAGACAGGGAAGAUGAUGAUAAAUCAUAUGAAAUUGGGUUUUUAGUUUUGAUUUGGAAUAUUGAGAUUCCCGUAAAAAAUUGGUUUUGAUUUUGGAAAGAGAGAGAAAUAAAGACGAUAGAGAAAAGAGUUGAGAGAGAAAAUGAGGAGAAAGCGUUGUGGUUCAGAGGGCAAUUUGGGAAUUUUGAUUUGGUAAAGUGCCUUCUCCUUUCAAAGUGCCUAUUUGUGGCUAAAGUUUCAAAAUAGUACCUCUACGUGUAAUAUUCUCAUAAAAUUAUCUAAAAGUGCCUAAACGUGUCAUAUUGCCUUUUAAUGAUUGUGUUUGUCAAACUUGACGAAGCCCAAACCUUUCGGAGCCCACUUGCAUACAAUCCCUUAUUCCCCUU